GGAAGUGCAUGUGGUCUGGUGACCGCCCUGGACUUCAAAUCCAUUGGUCCUGCCUUGCGUGGGACGGUCGGUUCGAUUCCGACACACUUCCGCCA
Molecule: transfer RNA, 95 nt
Filed under: Acidobacteriota bacterium
Lineage: Bacteria; Pseudomonadati; Acidobacteriota
Also listed under: 2 other names
Description: tRNA-Sec
Rfam family: Selenocysteine transfer RNA
Source: RNAcentral